GCAUAUCAAUAAGCGGAGGAAAAGAAACUAACAAGGAUUCCCCUAGUAACUGCGAGUGAAGCGGGAAAAGCUCAAAUUUAAAAUCUGGCGGUCUCCGGCCGUCCGAGUUGUAAUUUAGAGAAGCGUUAUCCGUGCUGGACCGUGUAUAAGUCUCCUGGAAUGGAGCGUCAUAGAGGGUGAGAAUCCCGUCUUUGACACGGACUACCAGUGCAUUGUGAUGCGCUCUCGACGAGUCGAGUUGUUUGGGAAUGCAGCUCAAAAUGGGUGGUAAAUGCCAUCUAAAGCUAAAUAUUGGCGAGAGACCGAUAGCGAACAAGUACCGUGAGGGAAAGAUGAAAAGAACUUUGGAAAGAGAGUUAAACAGUACGUGAAAUUGUCGAAAGGGAAACGGUUGCAGUCAGUCGCGUCCGCCGGGGAUCAACCUUGCUUUUGCUUGGCGUAUUUCCCGGUGGAUGGGUCAGCAUCAGUUUUGACCGCAGUYGAAAGGCUGGAGGAAUGUGGCACCUUCGGGUGUGUUAUAGCCUCCUGUCAUAUGCUGCGGUUGGGACUGAGGAACUCAGCACGCCGCAAGGCCGGGAUUCGUCCACGUUCGUGCUUAGGAUGCUGGCAUAAUGUCUGUAACCGACCCGUCUUGAAACACGGACC
This 645-nucleotide ribosomal RNA is filed under the name Schizophyllum commune. RNAcentral describes it as "eukaryotic LSU rRNA". It matches the Rfam family "Eukaryotic large subunit ribosomal RNA", at positions 38 to 667 of the family's 3401-position model. The record is from RNAcentral. Lineage: Eukaryota; Fungi; Basidiomycota; Agaricomycetes; Agaricales; Schizophyllaceae.